CAUCUUUUGGGGAAGGGCCAUUCAAACUGGUUUCACUUGAAGAAAUUAUGCAAAACUGCAUUGCAGUUCCACAGUUGCUCUGUGUGUGAAUGAAAUGCAUCCAUUUAUGUACAGACACAAUUAUUAUCUUUUCCAGACCUUGGGGAAUGUGUGAUUGAAAUGAUGAAUCAAAUGUGGAGAAAAAGCCAAUCUUGGAAAAAGUCUGCAAGUUUGCUGAAGUUUAACCAAAAUGAGAGACACAUCUUCAAAAACACAGUAAAACAGCAAACAGGCACUACUUGCUCUGUCCACGCUGUCUCAAAACACAAGCAAGCCUGUCUGUCCAUUUGCGGAGGGUGUUCACCACAGGUGCUGAUGCGUCAGCAUAUGUGCGAAAGUCCUCCAUGACAUACCCUCCCGAUCCCCGACGGUCAGUCCGACGACCAUGCACUAUUUUCGGACACCUUCUGAGGACAUCCUGCCCACUCUGGAGGAUGGAAACAAGGGCCUAGAAGAAGAAUAAAAACAUUUUCACCGUUUUUGAGACUAAGUCCAUCCACAUUUAGGCACAGAAUGGAAAUAAAAACGUUUUUGGCCGUUUUUUUUACUAAGCCCAUUUGGACUUGGCUCAGAAGCAGAAUAAAAACAUUGUAACUGUUUUUUGAGUAUAUCCUUGUGGACUUAGACUCAGAAUUGGAAUAAAAACGUUUUUGCCCAUUUUUUUAGUGUCCAGCUCCAGUUAAAGUAUCGCAGAGAGUAGCCUUGUAGUGCUGUGUAAGUGAGAGAUCUUUUUGUCAGUCUUAACGACCCUGUCAUUCACAAAAAACACUUAUUUCGGGAGAGGUAAGCUCUAGAGAUGCGCGGAUGGGCUAUUAUUUCAUCCGCAACCGCAUCACAAAACGCUUGAUCCGCCCGCCAUC
This is a long non-coding RNA of Gadus chalcogrammus (walleye pollock), 899 nucleotides long. RefSeq lists it as uncharacterized. The record is from RefSeq and is a predicted model, not a curated record. The transcript has 3 exons. Lineage: Eukaryota; Metazoa; Chordata; Actinopteri; Gadiformes; Gadidae.